CCCGAGUAGAUUUUCUCCGGGCCAAAACCUAAUCCGCGACCGUGAUCGAUUUGGAGAUGCCGCCAGAGUACCACAGGGAUUGAAGGAUAGAUCAAAUUACCCUAUCUUUUGAGUACCUUUUCGUAGAGGAGAUAAGCUUGUCAACCACCGCCCCCUUUUGAAAAUUGUGGUUUGAAAUUGGUAGCC
This is a long non-coding RNA of Syzygium oleosum, 186 nucleotides long. RefSeq lists it as uncharacterized. The transcript has 2 exons. NCBI's taxonomy places the organism in Eukaryota, Viridiplantae, Streptophyta, Magnoliopsida, Myrtales, Myrtaceae. The record is from RefSeq and is a predicted model, not a curated record.